GCUGAACCAACUACAAAAGAGUCUCAUUUCCAACUUUUUUUGAAGGUUCCACAAGCGUUGGGUUAAGUGACCGGGUGAGGGUCACCAAACUUAGAAGGUGCAUUCCUUUAUUUUUUUCUCUUUUUUUUUUGGAACACUCACUUAUAUUCAUCGGCUUCCCUGUGUAGAGUGUGUGUGAGAUGGUGCUGACUGCUGAAAUAAACUACUCAA
This 210-nucleotide long non-coding RNA is filed under the name Lathyrus oleraceus (garden pea). RNAcentral's name for it is "Pisum sativum (pea) long non-coding RNA (PSAT_LNC031342)". The record is from RNAcentral. Lineage: Eukaryota; Viridiplantae; Streptophyta; Magnoliopsida; Fabales; Fabaceae.